This 73-nucleotide transfer RNA is filed under the name Paramuricea clavata. It matches the Rfam family "tRNA". Rfam says of the family: Transfer RNA (tRNA) molecules are approximately 80 nucleotides in length. Their secondary structure includes four short double-helical elements and three loops (D, anti-codon, and T loops). Lineage: Eukaryota; Metazoa; Cnidaria; Anthozoa; Malacalcyonacea; Plexauridae. The record is from Rfam by way of RNAcentral.
GACCGCGUAGCUCAGUUGGCAGAGCAUUGGGCUGGUAUUCCAAAGGUCGUAGGUUCGUUUCCCACCGUGGCCA